This 558-nucleotide ribosomal RNA is filed under the name uncultured Glomus. Its description in RNAcentral is "SSU rRNA". It matches the Rfam family "Eukaryotic small subunit ribosomal RNA", at positions 546 to 1106 of the family's 1831-position model. Lineage: Eukaryota; Fungi; Glomeromycota; Glomeromycetes; Glomerales; Glomeraceae. The record is from RNAcentral.
AAUUGGAGGGCAAGUCUGGUGCCAGCAGCCGCGGUAAUUCCAGCUCCAAUAGCGUAUAUUAAAGUUGUUGCAGUUAAAAAGCUCGUAGUUGAAUUUCGGGACCAAUUUGUUGGUCGUGCCUCGGUACGUACUGGUAUUAUUGGUUUCUCCCUUCUGAAGAACCUCGAUGUCAUUAAUUUGGUGUUGCGGGGAGACUGGACUGUUACUUUGAAAAAAUUAGAGUGUUUAAAGCAGGCUAACGCUUGAAUACAUUAGCAUGGAAUAAUGAAAUAGGACGUUCGAUUCUAUUUUGUUGGUUUCUAGGAUCGACGUAAUGAUUAAUAGGGAUAGUUGGGGGCAUUAGUAUUCAAUUGUCAGAGGUGAAAUUCUUGGAUUUAUUGAAGACUAACUACUGCGAAAGCAUUUGCCAAGGAUGUUUUCAUUAAUCAAGAACGAAAGUUAGGGGAUCGAAGACGAUCAGAUGCCGUCGUAGUCUUAACCAUAAACUAUGCCGACUAGGGAUCGGAUGAUGUUAAUUUUUUAAUGACUCAUUCGGCGCCUUACGGGAAACCAAAGUGU